AAAUCCGGUUGAUCCUGCCGGAGGCUACCGCUAUUGGAGUUCGAUUAAGCCAUGCGAGUCGCGAGUCUUAGGGACUCGGCGUACCGCUCAGUAACACGUGGGUAACCUGCCCUAUGCUGGGGAAUAACCUCGGGAAACUGAGAACAAUGCCCCAUAGCCCACUACGCCUGGAACGGUGAGUGGGUCAAAGCCCCGGCGGCAUAGGAUGGGCCUGC
Molecule: ribosomal RNA, 215 nt
Filed under: Methanobacteriota archaeon
Lineage: Archaea; Methanobacteriati; Methanobacteriota
Description: Euryarchaeota archaeon partial 16S ribosomal RNA
Rfam family: Archaeal small subunit ribosomal RNA
Source: RNAcentral